Molecule: long non-coding RNA, 3057 nt
Organism: Aegilops tauschii subsp. strangulata
Lineage: Eukaryota; Viridiplantae; Streptophyta; Magnoliopsida; Poales; Poaceae
Source: RefSeq, a predicted model, not a curated record
ACAACUCCAGACUCUUGUGGCCCGGCCCAAGUUGGUUUCACAAUUAAUCUAGGUCAUUACCUUUUCCCAGCCUCCCUGUUCCUCUCGAUCUCUCUCACGCUGCCCACCGCCCCUCAACCUACCUGCAUCCCGGAGCGCCGCCCCUCACCACUCCCCUGCGAUCCUCCGUCUCGGAAGGCCGCCCCUCACCACUCCCCCUGCGAUUCUCCAUCCUGGCGCGCCGUCCCUAGUCAACUCUCCUCUGCGACCUUGCUUCCCGGCGCGCCGCCCCUCGUCACCGCUUCCCUACGACCAACUGCGUCUACUACCUCCGCACGAGGGCCUGCGGCUACGGGCAGAGUUACCGCUACAACAACCCUCGCGAUCGCGCUGCCGUGGCCUGAUCACUCACGCCGUCAUAUGCUCAUAUUUCUUUCCGAGACUUCGGAGCAGGUUACAAUAUCAACUUUCUCUACUAAGUAAUAAUUACCUAAACUCGGUGCAGAGAAAUGCAAUCACACUCAAGCACUGAUAUGUUGCAAUGGACAUGACCCCAAAACUUUCUCCCUGUCUUUUAUUUGAGACAUAGUUUGGUAACUUUUUGUUGCAUAUUUUCAUCCGCUUAAAAGACCAUUUCGAUCUCUAUGUUCUCUGCUACUACAAACUGAGGAGCAGCUUGACAACUUUAUGAAGCUCAGUCGACUAAGCCACUGUGACGCUGGGGGAGAAGGACAUCGGUGCAGAGCAUGGCAAGGCCGAGUACUUGUUGGAUCUUAGGGCCUCUAAUCCACAGUUCUCCGCAUCAUCAUCCAUCAGCAUUUGGUGACAUUAUUAGCACUCAGAGCUUCAUAAGGCUUUCUGCCCACUACAGUUGGAGUUCAAGAGCGUAAGGAAGGUAAUCUGGUGAUCAAUCACUGUUGCUUGUCAGAAAACUCUGAAAAUAUUAUUGAGUACAUCUACCAUGAGCUAUGCUUGCCAUUUUAAAAGAUGUUUAUGUGAGCUUCAUGUCAUAUCAAUUUUUUUUGAAGCAAGCAGAUCUUGCGAUUUACUUAUGAUUUAUGAACAGAAAAUGUUUACUGUGUAACCCCUAAAUACAGUAGAAGAGAUUAGAGAAGCAGGUCUUAUAAAACUACGCUGAGACGAGUAGUACUUAUUUAGUCAAGUGACAUGUUAGAUAAAAUUCUACACCUAUUACAACUUAUCUGACUUCUGUAUUUUGUAAAGAUAGCUGAACUAGAUUGUGUUCCAGGAAUAAAAAACCAUGGAUGUUUUCCAUUUAUUCACUUGGCUUUUGGAAUUUGAUUGAUGUCCCCUUUCUCAUAUUAUUAACAACAUAUACCUACACGGUUCUCUCUACUGGUUUGCCAAAUUCUAGACACUUCUUGUGUGGUCCAUGCUUCCUCUUUGUACUAUGCUUACCUACAUUCGUAAUAUCACUCCUUUAUUCCCUUGACGUGCUUUUCCUUUACAAAGAAGAAUACACACCAUGGGGAAAAGAGAAGUAAAUUUGUAUUUGUAGUCUACAAACAGGGCGUCCUAAUUAUUUGUUCGAGCAUGCUACAGUCUUGUUUUCUCUGCCGUGUCUUCUCCUUUUCUUAGUAGUGUCACUACUGAUUGAUCUGCUCAGAUGUGCUAUUUAGAGUUUGAUCUGGAUAUAUACUAGCUAUUUUAUUAGGAGUUGGUGGUAAAGAUGAACUAAUGGUCGAUCCUCCCUGCUGUCCUCGCUGCACUUCAUGCAAAAUCACUGGGCCGGUACUGGGAGUACCUCAUUUAUGAUGGAUCUUAUACUUCAAAGCUUAUUUAUAUUGUCUAAUAUGUUUUAUUUGUACUAAUUUAGUAAAUUUAAUUUAUCUUUUGGCUUAAUAUGUCCAAGGUAUUGAUAUAGUAAUAUUUUGUUACCUGAUUAAAGCUCAAACAUACUGCUUCAGUAUCUCCCAGUAGGUGCCUCAGAAUUAUGCAGUUGAUCGUACCAUACUACUACUUGAAUAAAAAUGUUUAUCUUUGUGUUCUACACUGAAGCUAUCAUAUGAAGUUUAAUUAUUUUAAGCGUUCAUCACCAAAACUACUUUGUUGGUAGUGAAAGGCUUCAUAGAAUUUCAUAGAUGUUACACAUCAUGAGAUUAACCCGUAGAAGAAUGUAUUCAUAACCAUAUGACGUGUGUGAUGUUGGGUUAUAGCCGUUGUAUGCUGAAAGGCUUUUUCCCUUGCUUCCUUCCAUUUUCUUCUAUGUGCAUUGACUAGACGUAUGUUUUUACAAUGUGGCAUGGUUUGAGCAUUUUAAAUUCUUUACACGCUUCCAUUAUUUCCCGCCCCAUUUAUAUUGGUAUGUCCUUUAAAUAGCAGGCAGGUACAUGGCACAAUAUAACUCAGUGUUAGCUGGCUUAUAAUCUCUUAUCCCUUGAAAGACUUCAAAGAUGGCAUCUCAUGGGACAACACAAGAGACCAUAUAGUAAAGGAAAAGAUGCAAACACGAUAGGCAGGACCAAAAGUAUUUUUAAUGAGCCUGAAAAAUCAUAACGGAGACCGGUAUUGCUACAAUUGUAAGUUGUGAUCCUGAAUCUGAGCUUGAUGGUGCUGAAAUUACUAAUGAAUUGUAGAUAGUGCAUGUCGAUAUGGCACUUGUGAAAACUAAAUAUUUGGUAUGGAGUUGCAAAAACUGUAAUACUCUUGGUAAUGCAGAAUUUUUUUGCAUGGCAACCUUUGUAAGUGACUAAUAUCCUGCCUCUAUCACGAAUUGCAUCAUGCUUUGUGUGUUAACAGUUAAUUUUGUUUUUUUUGUUUGUAGAUUCAAAAGAUAAAUGGAUGAUUAUAUGGGUGUGUGGGCAAGCAUACUACUAUGAUGACGAUGAUGUUCGUGUUCAUGAUGAUGGAGACGGAUGCUUUCAGUUUUAGUAAAGUUGUAGGGAUGAUGUUCCUGUUGGACGAUGUUCCUCAAUUAUGUUUUAGUUAAUCUGUAGGGAUGUUGAUGCAUGGUUUCAAUUUAAGUUUCACCAUCAAGAGAACAUUUAUAUUAUACAUCCCAUUUGGAUGAUUUUCCUCAUGUAAUGUCUACCAUUGUAAUCAAACAGUUUUAUCUAA